This 253-nucleotide ribosomal RNA is filed under the name uncultured bacterium. Its description in RNAcentral is "partial 16S ribosomal RNA". It matches the Rfam family "Bacterial small subunit ribosomal RNA", at positions 524 to 776 of the family's 1533-position model. The record is from RNAcentral.
UACGAAGGGGGCUAGCGUUGCUCGGAAUCACUGGGCGUAAAGGGUGCGUAGGCGGGUCUUUAAGUCAGGGGUGAAAUCCUGGAGCUCAACUCCAGAACUGCCUUUGAUACUGAAGAUCUUGAGUUCGGGAGAGGUGAGUGGAACUGCGAGUGUAGAGGUGAAAUUCGUAGAUAUUCGCAAGAACACCAGUGGCGAAGGCGGCUCACUGGCCGGAUACUGACGCUGAGGCACGAAAGCGUGGGGAGCAAACAGG